This 494-nucleotide ribosomal RNA is filed under the name uncultured bacterium. Its description in RNAcentral is "partial 16S ribosomal RNA". It matches the Rfam family "Bacterial small subunit ribosomal RNA", at positions 29 to 507 of the family's 1533-position model. The record is from RNAcentral.
ACGAACGCUGGCGGCGUGCCUAAUACAUGCAAGUAGAACGCUGAAGGAGGAGCUUGCUUCUCUGGAUGAGUUGCGAACGGGUGAGUAACGCGUAGGUAACCUGCCUGGUAGCGGGGGAUAACUAUUGGAAACGAUAGCUAAUACCGCAUAAUAGUAGAUGUUGCAUGACAUUUGCUUAAAAGGUGCAAUUGCAUCACUACCAGAUGGACCUGCGUUGUAUUAGCUAGUUGGUGGGGUAACGGCUCACCAAGGCGACGAUACAUAGCCGACCUGAGAGGGUGAUCGGCCACACUGGGACUGAGACACGGCCCAGACUCCUACGGGAGGCAGCAGUAGGGAAUCUUCGGCAAUGGACGGAAUUCUGACCGAGCAACGCCGCGUGAGUGAAGAAGGUUUUCGGAUCGUAAAGCUCUGUUGUAAGAGAAGAACGAGUGUGAGAGUGGAAAGUUCACACUGUGACGGUAUCUUACCAGAAAGGGACGGCUAACUACGUG